GGAUCGGAGUCUGCAACCCGACUCCGUGAAGCUGGAUUCGCUAGUAAUCGCGCAUCAGCCAUGGCGCGGUGAAUACGUUCCCGGGCCUUGUACACACCGCCCGUCAAGCCAUGGAAGCCGGGGGCGCUUGAAGUGCGUUGCCACAAGGCGCGCCCUAGAGCGAAACCGGUGACUGGGGCUAAGUCGUAACAAGGUAAC
This 198-nucleotide ribosomal RNA is filed under the name uncultured bacterium. RNAcentral's name for it is "partial 16S ribosomal RNA". It matches the Rfam family "Bacterial small subunit ribosomal RNA", at positions 1295 to 1500 of the family's 1533-position model. The record is from RNAcentral.